RNAcentral lists this ribosomal RNA (491 nucleotides) under uncultured bacterium. RNAcentral describes it as "partial 16S ribosomal RNA". It matches the Rfam family "Bacterial small subunit ribosomal RNA", at positions 29 to 507 of the family's 1533-position model. The record is from RNAcentral.
GUGAACGCUGGCGGUAGGCCUAACACAUGCAAGUCGAACGGCAGCACAGUAAGCGCUUGCUCUUCCGGGUGGCGAGUGGCGGACGGGUGAGGAAUACAUCGGAAUCUACUUUUUCGUGGGGGAUAACGUAGGGAAACUUACGCUAAUACCGCAUACGACCUACGGGUGAAAGCAGGGGAUCUUCGGACCUUGCGCGAUUGAAUGAGCCGAUGUCGGAUUAGCUAGUUGGCGGGGUAAAGGCCCACCAAGGCGACGAUCCGUAGCUGGUCUGAGAGGAUGAUCAGCCACACUGGAACUGAGACACGGUCCAGACUCCUACGGGAGGCAGCAGUGGGGAAUAUUGGACAAUGGGCGCAAGCCUGAUCCAGCCAUACCGCGUGGGUGAAGAAGGCCUUCGGGUUGUGAAGCCCUUUUGUUGGGAAAGAAAAGCAGCAGGUUAAUACCCCGCUGUUCUGACGGUACCCAAAGAAUAAGCACCGGCUAACUUCGUG